Molecule: ribosomal RNA, 497 nt
Filed under: uncultured bacterium
Lineage: Bacteria
Description: partial 16S ribosomal RNA
Rfam family: Bacterial small subunit ribosomal RNA
Source: RNAcentral
GAUGAACGCUGGCGGCGUGCCUAAUACAUGCAAGUCGAGCGAACAGACGAGGAGCUUGCUCCUCUGACGUUAGCGGCGGACGGGUGAGUAACACGUGGAUAACCUACCUAUAAGACUGGGAUAACUUCGGGAAACCGGAGCUAAUACCGGAUAACAUGUUGAACCGCAUGGUUCAACAGUGAAAGACGGUCUUGCUGUCACUUAUAGAUGGAUCCGCGCCGCAUUAGCUAGUUGGUAAGGUAACGGCUUACCAAGGCAACGAUGCGUAGCCGACCUGAGAGGGUGAUCGGCCACACUGGAACUGAGACACGGUCCAGACUCCUACGGGAGGCAGCAGUAGGGAAUCUUCCGCAAUGGGCGAAAGCCUGACGGAGCAACGCCGCGUGAGUGAAGAAGGUCUUCGGAUCGUAAAUCUCUGUUAUUAGGGAAGAACAAAUGUGUAAGUAACUAUGCACGUCUUGACGGUACCUAAUCAGAAAGCCACGGCUAACUACGUG